Non-coding RNA from Pangasianodon gigas (Mekong giant catfish), 72 nucleotides. Lineage: Eukaryota; Metazoa; Chordata; Actinopteri; Siluriformes; Pangasiidae. The record is from the annotation of a GenBank genome assembly.
UCCCUGGAGGACUAGUGGUUAGGCCACGGCGCCCUCACCGCUGCGGCCUGGGUUCGAUUCCUGGCCAGGGAA